RNAcentral lists this ribosomal RNA (468 nucleotides) under uncultured bacterium. RNAcentral describes it as "partial 16S ribosomal RNA". It matches the Rfam family "Bacterial small subunit ribosomal RNA", at positions 28 to 507 of the family's 1533-position model. The record is from RNAcentral.
GACGAACGCUGGCGGCGUGCUUAACACAUGCAAGUCGAACGGAAAGGCCCUGCUUUCGUGGGGCGCUCGAGUCGCGAACGGGUGUAUAACAUGGGUGUUAUCCGCCCUAGACCUUGGUAUAACUUCAGGAAACUGUGGCUUAUACCGGAUAGGCGCUCCUGCUGCAUGGUGGUGGUUGGAAAUUUUGGUCGGUUGGGGAUGGACUGGCGGCUUAUCAGCUUGUUGGUGGGGUAGUGGCUUACCAAGGCUUUGACGGGUAGCCGGCCUGAGAGGGUGACCGGCCAAAUUGGGACUGGGAUACGGCCCAGACUCCUACGGGAGGCAGCAGUGGGGAAUAUUGCACAAUGGGCGGAAGCCUGAUGCAGCAACGCCGCGUGCGGGAUGACGGCCUUCGGGUUGUAACCCGCUUUCGCCUGUGACGAAGCGUGAGUGACGGUAAUGGGUAAAGAAGCACCGGCUAACUACGUG